This 282-nucleotide ribosomal RNA is filed under the name uncultured Peptoniphilus sp. RNAcentral's name for it is "partial 16S ribosomal RNA". It matches the Rfam family "Bacterial small subunit ribosomal RNA", at positions 77 to 355 of the family's 1533-position model. Lineage: Bacteria; Bacillati; Bacillota; Tissierellia; Tissierellales; Peptoniphilaceae. The record is from RNAcentral.
CGAAGAUAAGACGGAUUAGCGGCGGACGGGUGAGUAACACGUGAGUAACCUGCCUUUUACACAGGGAUAGCCUCGGGAAACCGGGAUUAAAACCUGAUGAAACUAUCAAAUCACAUGAUUAAGAAAGUUAAAACUCCGGUGGUAAAAGAUGGACUCGCGUCCCAUUAGCUAGUUGGUGAAGGUAACGGCCCACCAAGGCAACGAUGGGUAGCCGGCCUGAGAGGGUGAACGGCCACAUUGGAACUGAGAAACGGUCCAAACUCCUACGGGAGGCAGCAGUUA